Long non-coding RNA from Trachymyrmex cornetzi, 87 nucleotides. RefSeq lists it as uncharacterized. Lineage: Eukaryota; Metazoa; Arthropoda; Insecta; Hymenoptera; Formicidae. The transcript is spliced from 3 exons. The record is from RefSeq and is a predicted model, not a curated record.
GUUCCAAACGUUGUUUAGGUGCUGGAUUAAUGCAUCUCGAGUUCUGUGCUGUCCGGAUCUCCAUUCCCUGACCAUAAUUCCCCACAA